This 253-nucleotide ribosomal RNA is filed under the name uncultured bacterium. RNAcentral describes it as "partial 16S ribosomal RNA". It matches the Rfam family "Bacterial small subunit ribosomal RNA", at positions 524 to 776 of the family's 1533-position model. The record is from RNAcentral.
UACGUAGGUGGCAAGCGUUGUCCGGAUUUAUUGGGCGUAAAGGGAGCGCAGGCGGUUUUUUAAGUCUGAUGUGAAAGCCUACGGCUCAACCGUAGAAUUGCAUUGGAAACUGAAGAACUAGAGUGCAGAAGAGGAAAGUGGAACUCCAUGUGUAGCGGUGAAAUGCGUAGAUAUAUGGAGGAACACCAGUGGCGAAGGCGACUUUCUGGUCUGAUACUGACGCUGAGGCUCGAAAGCGUGGGGAGCAAACAGG